CCUACGGGGCGCACCAGUGGGGAAUUUUCCGCAAUGGGCGAAAGCCUGACGGAGCAAUGCCGCGUGGAGGUAGAAGGCCCACGGGUCGUGAACUUCUUUUCCCGGAGAAGAAGCAAUGACGGUAUCUGGGGAACAAGCAUCGGCUAACUCUGUGCCAGCAGCCGCGGUAAUACGAAGGGGGCUAGCGUUGCUCGGAAUGACUGGGCGUAAAGGGCGCGUAGGCGGUUUAUGCAGUCAGAUGUGAAAUCCCCGGGCUUAACCUGGGAACUGCAUUUGAGACGCAUAGACUAGAGGUCGAGAGAGGGUUGUGGAAUUCCCAGUGUAGAGGUGAAAUUCGUAGAUAUUGGGAAGAACACCGGUGGCGAAGGCGGCAACCUGGCUCGAUUCUGACGCUGAGGCGCGAAAGCGUGGGGAGCAAACAGGAUUAGAUACCCGCGUAGUC
Molecule: ribosomal RNA, 442 nt
Filed under: uncultured bacterium
Lineage: Bacteria
Description: bacterial SSU rRNA
Rfam family: Bacterial small subunit ribosomal RNA
Source: RNAcentral